RNA transcript from Populus trichocarpa (black cottonwood), 1844 nucleotides. RefSeq lists it as uncharacterized. NCBI's taxonomy places the organism in Eukaryota, Viridiplantae, Streptophyta, Magnoliopsida, Malpighiales, Salicaceae. The transcript is spliced from 3 exons. The record is from RefSeq and is a predicted model, not a curated record.
UUUGGUAUAUAACUGGAUUGGUCUCUAUUGUUUUUUUCUCUCUUCUUUCAUAAAUUAACUAGACACCAACUUGCUAUAAAUUAACUAGACACCAACUUGCUAUAAAUGGCUCUCUCAUUCCCCAAUCCCCACCUUUCUCAGAAGGUGGGUCUUCGACUUCACAACUGUAACCCGUUUCAUUCUCAUCAUUUUUGCGUGCAAUGAUCCUCCCUUCGGGUUUUAUGGGCUCUUCUUUUUCUUUCUUUUAUGGUAUAAUUUCUUUUCUUUUUUUGGUGUAGGUUUUAGUACUUAAAUAAACAUGAUAAUUUGACCAGAAAGUUUACUUCUUUUUUAAAAUUUUGGUUUGUUGUUUUUUGCUAAUUUGUAUUGAUGGGUUCUGAAUGUUUUGUUUGAUUAGCUCUUCAGUGAUAGUUAUAUUAUCUGGGUUUGAUUUUUGUUAAAUAAAAACAAGAAAGAUGGGAUUUUUUUUGUUAAAUUCUGACUGGUUUUGGAGGUUAAGGGAGAGUAGUUCGAGGAUCAUUCACGCAAAAAUGAUGUGAAUAAUGGGUUAUUAUGUGAAAAAAUGAUCUCGUUAUUGAAGGAUAACCAGAGCUCAAGAGGGUCCUUGUUGCAAAAGGUUCUUGUUAAGAUUGUUUUUUCCUCCAAUUCCAAAGAUCCCGCAUGGCUACGUUUCACAGCUUUGCUGCACUACUUGAGGUUUCUCUCAGCCAGCUAGGUGUGCAUUGUCUCUCAGACAUGUCAGUGGUCACAAUAUCUCAUGACGUACUACACUGGUAAACUCUAUUCUUCAAUGCUUGCAUUCAAUUUUAGGAUUCAGUUGUUAAUUUUCCAUACUGUUUCGCUGUGACAGGGCCAUUGUCAGUUGCAGUUUUAAGAUCUAGUUAGUAGCUUUGGAUUGGAACAUUUUCUAUUUACCACAGUUAAUUUACUUUUGACACAUCAGAGGUUCCAUGAAGAAUUGUGCGCCCGCGUGCAUGCCAGUGUUGUGUUUCUAGGAAAUUUUAUGCAACUCUCAUUAAAUUUUAUGUAUAGACGAUGGAUCAUUUAAUUUAAAGAAGAGACUAAAUAUUAGCGAAAAUAGUCUCAAUUGGAUGUCUGAUCCUUCCAAAGAGAGGGAAUUUCAUUUAUGCCAUAUCCUUGAUUUUGAUCAGUCAAUCAAUCAAUGCCUCGCCACAUUUGUUUUGUCAUUUUUUUCAUGGUUUUUGCUUGUUUAUCUGGCUUUGGAGAUGCAAAGGACAAUAGCAAAUUAAACUGAUUAGAUGCAGAAGUAUAGAGAUGACAAGAUCAAAGAUAGAAAGACGACUACUGGUGAAGAAUAACAAAGAAGUCCAGAGUUUUUGGAGAGAUUUGCUAGUAGGUUUAUAUGUUAGUUUUUGCAUGCAGGCCAGGCUCCAAGCUUCUCUCCUUGAGUGCGUUUAUGUGUUUGAUCUACGUCCGAAGGGGUUCAGCAGAGGCCAAUCUUGCCAACUUUCUAGUUUGGCAAUUGUUUUAAGCGGUGGCUGUAGCUUUCGAGCCAUGAACACGUUUCUUUUUCCGGGUGGUGUUUAUGGCGGGGCAGCUCAAUGUGCUCCCCAGUGGCCAGGAUGCCUCAGGCACACUUUCCCCAACGACAUUCUUCUUUGGGCCAUUUUAUGUGAAUGGAAUUGCAAAUCAUUUUCAGUGAAUGAAACACUGUUAGGUUUGCUUGCUGUUUUGCCACAAUCCUCAUUCAAACACGCGCAUUGGAUUGAAUUCAUGUCCUUCUUAACCCCUUUUGAGUAGGCUUUGAUCAUAGCCAGCGAAAACUGUGAUUCACCAUGUAAAUCUUCUGUUUUCUUUAUUUUCAAUAAUUUGACUUUCACUGA